GUUUUUAGUUUAAGGCCUACAGAUAUUCCUAACCUACACAGGUAGGCUUGGUGUUUGCUAGUAUGAUUAUCCAGCCCUGAGUAACAGAAUUAAAGGUUUCUCUAUUAGACACAGAGGUCAUACUAAUAAAAGGAUUUUACAUGAUCAGAUGAUAUUAUUAAACUGUGUCUUAUGGAAAAGGACAUCUGUAACACUAAAAGUUUAAUGUUGUGUUUACAUUCCUGAUAACUUUAAGACUGUUAAAGAUUUACAUUUCUAUAUAAAGGCCUUGUCCACUCUGGCCUUAUUAUGGAGACAGCUUCUCCUGGUAAAUAUAUAUAUACUAACUUCUCAGCCCUCACACCUCCUGGUGAGGGAACUUCUAUACAGCAACAUGUUCCAGCUGUUGCAACACUUAUUCAGUACUCAUGGUUUUUGUUUUUUUCUCAUAGAAGCACCCAUCCCCAGAUGACUUUACAACCUGUUCUUCCCCAACCAGACUUCAAACCGAAUUGACUUCUAAAAGGAAACUCAUGUCCCUGACGCUGUGCCCCCUCACGUCACCCUCUCUCAGCUCAGAAGAAGCCAAAAGGAGCGACUCCCCUCUUCUUACAACAAUGGAGACAUUCCCUCAGUGCUCUUCCCCUACCCUAUCAAAGAUUUGAAAGGGACACAUAGGAAAAGGGGGAAUGAUAGACCCAACCUGAUCUUUCUUAAAAUUGGGAGCCAUCUAGCCACAAAGCCAUGAAAAGAUAAUUUCGGCUUUACUAUAAAUUACUGCAAAUUCUGAACCUGCUUGGAUGCCUGCCCAUGCCUUGAACUCACCCAUGCCUGGCUCUCUGACCAGAUAGCAGCCCUCUCUGAAACUUUAAUGAUGCCUCAUAAAUCUUGGCAUUCCCAGACAAUGACCCUCUCUGAGGCUCUAAUGACCCUCAUAAAUCUGAUGUUGGGGCCAGCAAAAAAUGUAAACUACCAUCAGUGUUAUGUUCAUCAGAGUUCUGUUAUAUGUAACCCCCCUUUGUGUAACUUUCCGGACUAUAAAGCUGGGCUGCAGGAAAGCUGCUGUGGCU
This 1049-nucleotide long non-coding RNA is filed under the name Marmota monax (woodchuck). Lineage: Eukaryota; Metazoa; Chordata; Mammalia; Rodentia; Sciuridae. The record is from RNAcentral.